Molecule: long non-coding RNA, 878 nt
Organism: Actinia tenebrosa (Australian red waratah sea anemone)
Lineage: Eukaryota; Metazoa; Cnidaria; Anthozoa; Actiniaria; Actiniidae
Source: RefSeq, a predicted model, not a curated record
AUGACCAUGCAUAAUGGUUGUCAUCGUUUGUAAAGUUUUCUACACCAGACACAGUACGGAAUGGUUUUUAAAAGCCGAAGUAGCAGGCUUGUAGCUGUGAUCGUGCUUGGUACCAUGUUUGGAGGUGCAGCAGGAUUUUAUUUCCGUGAAAAUAUACAAAUAAAACAACAAGAAAAAAAUCUUGUGGAACUUGAAAAGAAUGUUGAGGAGAAGAAAUUAUCAAUAAAAGAGAUCAGAUCAAAGUUGGACCCUGACAAAUGAACUUGACUGAUUCCCAAAAAAAGGAAAAAAUACACUAUUUAAUAUCAUCAGAAAGUUGAACAGAGAAGAGAAAAUAUCCAAUAAAGUAUUGGGCAUACUUGUAUCUUUUCCCACACUAUUUGGAAUACAUUCAAUUUGCUGAAAAACUUGUGUAAACCAUGAUGAAGAUAAAUUAGAUAAAUUACAUUAUGUACUAUCAGCAGGCAAGGGUUCUCGUCUAUUCAUUCCAUACGACACAAGGUCUGAACAGAAAGGCAACAGAAAUAGAAAUGAGGGAAAUUGACAGGAAAAAUUUAACUUAAAAUUGCCCUCUUGAGAAUUGUGACACCACAAUCUGGUGGUAAAUAUAUGGACUCGUAUAAUGAUAGAUGGUCAGCAAGUCUAAAAGCAAAAUUAUUAACCAUAUUGCUAAAAGCCAGAAUAUUAAGUACAUCAUAUAAUAUAAAUAUAUAUUAAUGACAUGAUGAAUGAGUAGAGCAAAAAUAUUUGAACUGUGAAAUAGAAUCAAACUAGUUACUAACAAAUAGUCACUAUUUAGAUACUAAUAGUCGUUAUCACUGAGCCAGAACAGUUUAAUUAUGACACAACAAGGAAUACACAAGAAUACACAAUACAAA